Phoenix dactylifera (date palm) is the source of this 3381-nucleotide non-coding RNA. NCBI's taxonomy places the organism in Eukaryota, Viridiplantae, Streptophyta, Magnoliopsida, Arecales, Arecaceae. The record is from RefSeq and is a predicted model, not a curated record.
GAGUGAGUCUUGAAGUGGUGUUAUUACUGAGAUUUGACCUCGAGUAAUUAUAUUACUAGGGUGAGAGGAGGUCCAGUGGUAGUUAUAUAUGGGUGGGACUCCCGUAUGGGACUCCCUCCUAUUCUUAAGAAAAAAGUAUCAUUAGUUUAAGAAUAUGUGUUAGGUCUUAUUUGGGAAAAAAUCAAUAAGAAAUAGACCAUUUCAUUUUAAUCUUGUUGCUUUAGGAAGACUUGAAUUCUUUUAUUGUAUUAGGAAGGUGCUCUUGAACUACCUGCAACAACCAUAACCAUCCAUCUUUUCCCCAACUACUUGGGAUCGCCUUCAUGGAUCCUCAUUUGCCAAGGUGAUCGUAAACUUUCUACCGUCAAAAAUAAGGUAGUGCUGUAGUUGGAAGGGGCAUUAUUUUUAAAAGACUGGAGGAGCGAAAUGGGCAGUUAGGGGGCUGCUCAGUGCCUAGGUUCUAGGCAGGCACCUAGGUGGCCGCCCAACUUCCUGAACUACUACUACUGAUACAAUUCGACUAUUGGAACUGCUCAUCAUCUUCCCUCUCUUCCAUUCUCUUAGUGAAGCUUAGGGUUACGGCAUAUGGCAUUGCAUAAACGGGUAAUGGGGAAGGGAUAAAUUAUUUAACUAUAAAGGUCGGUUAUGGCUUAAUGGGCAUUCGACCUAUAUAAACCCGAACCCAUGACAUUCAUGACAUUCUUGCCGCCACACCUAGGCAUGGCACUUUAGGCCUGCUCUGCGUAAGGCAAGUGUUUAGGUGGGCGCCUGGCCAGCUUUUAGAAAAAUGGGAAGAGGGACCAGUGUUUGGGUUGAGGAGUUCAUUUAUAUACCUUACUAGGGUUUAUUUGGAAGGGUGCCACUGCCAUGCCCUUGGAAUUAUAAAAUAUGUUGUGAUAAAAUAUUUUUUCUAAUUUUUUCAGUCUGUUGUAUCCUGACAACCAGGAUCAGUUUGAAAAUAUAAGCUCAUAAUUUGAAAAUAUCUCCCUAUCAAUAAUUUCUGGAUAAAGUUAAAGUACAUAUGAUAUUAGUAUAUAAUUGUUUCAAUUCUUUUAAAAAGAUCCAUCUUCAGUCCACAAAAGUCCUCAGGUUACAAAGUGAGCCUAGUCUUACUUUUACUUGAAAUUCCAAAAACAAAUCCAAUGUGAAACAAGGGUUUGUUUUCAGAGUCUCAUCCGAUAAUGAUCUAUAUAAUGCUCAAUUUUAUGUAUAUAUGGGACGUUUGUGCUUGUUUUGGUUAUCUCAUCAUGUAAUUGAAUUUCACAAAAAGGACUUUAUAAAGAUUAAAUUCAGAUUUUGCAAGUAUUGAGAAGAUUAAAACUUCAGAGCCUCCUGGUGUCAAGUGGAUCCAAGUUGUGUACUUAGGCAUCCCAAAAAAGUGAAUUUGUAAAAAUUUAUUUCUAAUCUGUGAGACUCAAGCUUAAAUCUCCUCUCAUAUGGUAUCAAGUUCCGAAACCUAAGUUCUAUAUGUAUUUCUUAAUCCUCUCAUUUAGAACUUGUGGAUUUGUUAUCUUUCUAUUCAAAUUUUUUGGAUCUUUCAUGAAAUUUUCAAAUUUUAAUUCAAAAUAUUGCAAGUGUUCAGGACUUCAGGGAAUCUGUGGAUUUCUUUUGCCCGCUAUGUUUAUAUAAAGAUGAUUUAUAAUUCACAUUUCUUUGGUUUAGGGUAACAGACAUUUAGAUUUAGAUUACCAUUUAUUGUCAUUAUAUUUUUUUUAUUUGUUAUGUUGAUAAAUAUUUGAGCCCCAAAUAAUUGAAGCAAAACACUUGGACUCCCAGCUGAUACAAUGUUCUCUAUGAUGGUGUCUACUAUAUUCUCCUCAUUGGCUUUAUCUGUCUUUAUAUUAUAUUUCUAUUUGAUGUUUCUUCCUAAAGUUUCUUGUUAUUUUGUGGUUUAUGUUGCCAAAAUUGGAGCCACUACAACUGCCGAAUGCAGAAACUGAAACUGAUUUGGCUCCACCAGAUGGUAAACUGAAUUUGAUGGGCUGUUUGGUUGUUUAUAAGCUUUAGUAAGACAGAUAAUCAUGAAAACUGAGUUUAUGUAAAACAGGUUUUGUGAAUUUAUUUUUAAAUUUUUAUUUUUUCGGUGAGGCUGAUAUUCAUAAAACUCAAUUUUCAGGUUUUAUGAUCUGUCAGUUUUCUAAAAGAAGUUAUAUAAAAAGCAAUCAAACAACAAUUAAAUAAAAGUCAUAUAAUUUAUAAUUUGUGCAAAUCCGUUUUAGAACACCUGGCAUCCAAACAACCCCUGGGCUUUUUGAAUCUCGACAUUAAGAACACUCAAAAUUUAUUGCUUUAGUAAACCAUAUAUACAUCAUAGUCUAUCUUGAACUGCUAAGAAGUGUCUCAAGUAGACAAAGACCAUACAUGAACCGAAAAGGGAAAAGAGGUUGACAUUUUGCAAGCACUUGUUGUUUUUCUUUUUUAUCGAUAUUCUCCUACCUUUAUUUUUAUGUGUUUUCUUUAUGCCGAGUAACCUUUCAAAUAUAAUAAUAUAUGAUUAACUAGAUUGCUUUAUUUUAGUACUUUUUUCUGAGCAUGGUUGAAUGAAGUUGGAUGUUUAUUUGUUAUAUGCUUUGUUUUAGCAUGCCCACUAACUUUUCAAAUAAUAAUAAAAUAUGAUAAUUAGACUGUUUUGUUUGAGUACUUUUUCUGAGCAUUGUUGAAUGAGAUGGGUAAGAACCUUAUCACAUUUAUAUCGGAUAAUCAUUAUGAUGAAUCUUUAACCAUCAUAUGCAUUUGCAAAAAAUUGCUUGAAAAUUGUAGGUUGGCACUGGUGCUCGUGCAGAAAAAAUAAGGACAUACAAUUACAAGGAUAAUAGAGUAACCGACCACCGGUUGAAGAUGAACUUUGAGCUCACGUCCUUUCUCUCUGGAAAUAUUGAGACAGCCGUUCAGGCAUGUGCAGCCAUGGAGCAGAGGGAACUCUUGGAGGAGCUGGCUCAGUCAAUUGGUGCACCUAAUGUUUGAAUGUUUGAUUGAUAUGCAGUUUUAUUUUCCAGCAAAGUUUGAGUCCUGGCACAAUCCAAAUCUAGGCUCUUGUCUAGCCUGCACUAAUCUUCAUCUCAGAAAAUGAUCACAGGAACAAGUGGUGACUGGUAUCCAUCUAUGAGCAUUCUCUUUUACCAAAAUUUCUUAGUGGGUGCCAUCUAACAGAGCAGCACUAUUUUUUGUAGCAUGGUUGUUGAUACUUAAUGCUGUAAAUGAAAAUCAAACUUCUCCCUUACUUCAAAUAAGGGUAUAAAAUGGUCACUUCAAACUGUAAUGUUGUUUUCUACAGCAGAAAUUCACUUUUUUGUUUUUAAUAUUGGAAAGCUUUGUAUAAUUUUUCAAUUUAUUUAUACGAAGUUCAAAGAAAAACACACUAGAUACCAUAUUUCUUUCUUA